Molecule: ribosomal RNA, 1420 nt
Filed under: uncultured prokaryote
Description: partial 16S ribosomal RNA
Rfam family: Bacterial small subunit ribosomal RNA
Source: RNAcentral
AGAGUUUGAUCCUGGCUCAGAACGAACGCUGGCGGCAGGCCUAACACAUGCAAGUCGAACGGACUCUUCGGAGUUAGUGGCGCACGGGUGCGGAACACGUGGGAACAUACCCUUUGGUAAGGAAUAAUAUCUGGAAACGGAUACUAAUACCUUAUAAUGACUUCGGUCCAAAGAUUUAUCGCCAAAGGAUUGGCCCGCGCAUGAUUAGUUUGUUGGUGAGGUAAUGGCUCACCAAGACUACGAUCAUUAGCUGGUCUGAGAGGACGAUCAGCCACACUGGAACUGAGACACGGUCCAGACUCCUACGGGAGGCAGCAGUGAGGAAUAUUGCACAAUGGGGGAAACCCUGAUGCAGCCAUGCCGCGUGUAUGAAGAAGGCCUUAGGGUUGUAAAGCUCUUUCAAUAGUGAAGAUAAUGACGGUAGCUAUAGAAGAAGCUCCGGCUAAAUUCGUGCCAGCAGCCGCGGUAAUACGAAUGGAGCAAGCGUUGUUCGGAAUCACUGGGCUUAAAGCGUGCGCAGGCGGAAAAGAAAGUCAGAUGUGAAAUCCCAGGGCUCAACCCUGGAACUGCAUUUGAAACUUCUUUUCUAGAAUCCGGGAGGGGUCAGUAGAAUUACUAGUGUAGAGGUGAAAUUCGCAGAUAUUAGUAGGAAUACCAGUGGCGUAGGCGACUGACUGGACCGGUAUUGACGCUCAUGUACGAAAGCGUGGGGAGCAAACAGGAUUAGAUACCCUGGUAGUCCACGCCGUAAACGAUGUAUGCUAGCUGUUGGGGCCUUAGGCUUCGGUGACGCAGCUAACGCAUUAAGCACUCCGCCUGGGGAGUACGGCCGCAAGGUUAAAACUCAAAGAAAUUGACGGGGACCCGCACAAGCGGUGGAGCAUGUGGUUUAAUUCGAGGCAACGCGAAGAACCUUACCCACACUUAACUAUCCUCUUGGGGCUCCAGAGAUGGACUCCUUCAGUUUGGCUGGCUACCACACAGGUGCUGCAUGGCUGUCGUCAGCUCGUGUCGUGAGAUGUUGGGUUAAGUCCCGCAACGAGCGCAACCCUCAUCCUUAGUUGCCAGCACGUAAUGGUGGGAACUCUAAGGAAACUGCCUGUGAUAAGCAGGAGGAAGGUGGGGACGACGUCAAGUCAUCAUGGCCCUUACGGCCUGGGCUACACACGUGCUACAAUGGCGGUGACAGAGGGUUAACCCCUAAAAACCAUCUCAGUUCGGAUUGUACUCUGCAACUCGAGUCCAUGAAGUUGGAAUCGCUAGUAAUCGUAGAUCAGCAUGCUACGGUGAAUACGUUCCCGGGUCUUGUACACACCGCCCGUCACACCAUGGGAGUUGUCUUUACCUUAAGCCGGUGAGCCAAUCAGGCAGCCGUCCACGGUAGGGGCGGCGACUGGGGUGAAGUCGUAACAAGGUAACC